AGCUCAGUAGGCUUAAGCGUUUAUAGUACAGGACUCUGCCAGGACUCCAGGGGUCACAGGUUCGAACCCUGCUCCGGGCAA
RNAcentral lists this transfer RNA (81 nucleotides) under Dreissena polymorpha. RNAcentral's name for it is "tRNA-Gln". Lineage: Eukaryota; Metazoa; Mollusca; Bivalvia; Myida; Dreissenidae. The record is from RNAcentral.